GUUUGAUCCUGGCUCAGGACGAACGCUGGCGGCGUGCCUAAUACAUGCAAGUCGAACGAACUCUGGUAUUGAUUGGUGCUUGCAUCAUGAUUUACAUUUGAGUGAGUGGCGAACUGGUGAGUAACACGUGGGAAACCUGCCCAGAAGCGGGGGAUAACACCUGGAAACAGAUGCUAAUACCGCAUAACAACUUGGACCGCAUGGUCCGAGUUUGAAAGAUGGCUUCGGCUAUCACUUCUGGAUGGUCCCGCGGCGUAUUAGCUAGAUGGUGAGGUAACGGCUCACCAUGGCAAUGAUACGUAGCCGACCUGAGAGGGUAAUCGGCCACAUUGGGACUGAGACACGGCCCAAACUCCUACGGGAGGCAGCAGUAGGGAAUCUUCCACAAUGGACGAAAGUCUGAUGGAGCAACGCCGCGUGAGUGAAGAAGGGUUUCGGCUCGUAAAACUCUGUUGUUAAAGAAGAACAUAUCUGAGAGUAACUGUUCAGGUAUUGACGGUAUUUAACCAGAAAGCCACGGCUAACUACGUGCCAGCAGCCGCGGUAAUACGUAGGUGGCAAGCGUUGUCCGGAUUUAUUGGGCGUAAAGCGAGCGCAGGCGGUUUUUUAAGUCUGAUGUGAAAGCCUUCGGCUCAACCGAAGAAGUGCAUCGGAAACUGGGAAACUUGAGUGCAGAAGAGGACAGUGGAACUCCAUGUGUAGCGGUGAAAUGCGUAGAUAUAUGGAAGAACACCAGUGGCGAAGGCGGCUGUCUGGUCUGUAACUGACGCUGAGGCUCGAAAGUAUGGGUAGCAAACAGGAUUAGAUACCCUGGUAGUCCAUACCGUAAACGAUGAAUGCUAAGUGUUGGAGGGUUUCCGCCCUUCAGUGCUGCAGCUAACGCAUUAAGCAUUCCGCCUGGGGAGUACGGCCGCAAGGCUGAAACUCAAAGGAAUUGACGGGGGCCCGCACAAGCGGUGGAGCAUGUGGUUUAAUUCGAAGCUACGCGAAGAACCUUACCAGGUCUUGACAUACUAUGCAAAUCUAAGAGAUUAGACGUUCCCUUCGGGGACAUGGAUACAGGUGGUGCAUGGUUGUCGUCAGCUCGUGUCGUGAGAUGUUGGGUUAAGUCCCGCAACGAGCGCAACCCUUAUUAUCAGUUGCCAGCAUUAAGUUGGGCACUCUGGUGAGACUGCCGGUGACAAACCGGAGGAAGGUGGGGAUGACGUCAAAUCAUCAUGCCCCUUAUGACCUGGGCUACACACGUGCUACAAUGGAUGGUACAACGAGUUGCGAACUCGCGAGAGUAAGCUAAUCUCUUAAAGCCAUUCUCAGUUCGGAUUGUAGGCUGCAACUCGCCUACAUGAAGUCGGAAUCGCUAGUAAUCGCGGAUCAGCAUGCCGCGGUGAAUACGUUCCC
This 1398-nucleotide ribosomal RNA is filed under the name Lactiplantibacillus plantarum. RNAcentral's name for it is "bacterial SSU rRNA". It matches the Rfam family "Bacterial small subunit ribosomal RNA", at positions 11 to 1375 of the family's 1533-position model. The record is from RNAcentral. Lineage: Bacteria; Bacillati; Bacillota; Bacilli; Lactobacillales; Lactobacillaceae.